This 951-nucleotide non-coding RNA is filed under the name Aluterus heudelotii (dotterel filefish). Its description in RNAcentral is "12S ribosomal RNA". It matches the Rfam family "Bacterial small subunit ribosomal RNA". The record is from RNAcentral. Lineage: Eukaryota; Metazoa; Chordata; Actinopteri; Tetraodontiformes; Monacanthidae.
CAAAGGCUUGGUCCUGACUUUUCUAUCAACUCUAGCCCAACUUACACAUGCAAGUAUCCGCACCCCUGUGAGAAUGCCCCACAGUUUCCCGUCAAGGAAACAAGGAGCCGGUAUCAGGCACAACAUUAUUUUAGCCCAAGACACCUUGCUUAGCCACACCCUCAAGGGACCUCAGCAGUGAUAAACAUUAAGCCAUAAGUGAAAACUUGACUUAGCCAAGGCUAAGAGGGCCGGUAAAACUCGUGCCAGCCACCGCGGUUAUACGAGAGGCCCAAGCUGAUAGACAACGGCGUAAAGCGUGGUUAGGAGAACAAAAACAAUUAAAGUCGAAUGCUUUCAAAGCUGUUAUACGCACACGAGAGCUAGAAGUCCAACAACGAAGGUGACUUUACGAUUUCUGACCCCACGAAAGCUAAGGCACAAACUGGGAUUAGAUACCCCACUAUGCCUAGCCCUAAACAUUGAUAGCUAAUUACAUUUUCUAUCCGCCCGGGAACUACGAGCAUAAGCUUAAAACCCAAAGGACUUGGCGGUGCUUUAGAUCCACCUAGAGGAGCCUGUUCUAGAACCGAUAACCCCCGUUAAACCUCACCUUUUCUUGUUCUACCCGCCUAUAUACCACCGUCGUCAGCUUAUCCUGUGAAGGACUACUAAUAAGCAGAAUUGGCACAACCCAAAACGUCAGGUCGAGGUGUAGCGUACGAAAAGGGAAGAAAUGGGCUACAUUCUCUAUACUAGAGAACACGAAUGAUAAACUGAAAAACGUAUCUGAAGGAGGAUUUAGUAGUAAGGAAGAAAUAGAGAGUCCUCCUGAAACUGGCCCUGAAGCGCGCACACACCGCCCGUCACUCUCCCCAAGCACCCUAUUUUUAUUAAAUAAAACCUUUAAAUCUGCGAAGGGGAGGCAAGUCGUAACAUGGUAAGUGUACUGGAAAGUGCACUUGGAUUAAU